RNAcentral lists this ribosomal RNA (538 nucleotides) under uncultured Hymenobacter sp. RNAcentral describes it as "bacterial SSU rRNA". It matches the Rfam family "Bacterial small subunit ribosomal RNA", at positions 96 to 633 of the family's 1533-position model. The record is from RNAcentral. Lineage: Bacteria; Pseudomonadati; Bacteroidota; Cytophagia; Cytophagales; Hymenobacteraceae.
UGGCGCACGGGUGCGUAACGCGUAACCAACCUACCUCAAACUGGGGGAUAGCCCGCCGAAAGGCGGAUUAAUACCGCAUAAACCAGCAGGCUGGCAUCAGCUAAGUGGUAAAGAUUUAUUGGUUUGAGAUGGGGUUGCGUAGCAUUAGCUAGUUGGCGGGGUAAAGGCCCACCAAGGCGACGAUGCUUAGGGGACCUGAGAGGGUGAUCCCCCACACUGGCACUGAGAUACGGGCCAGACUCCUACGGGAGGCAGCAGUAGGGAAUAUUGGGCAAUGGGCGCGAGCCUGACCCAGCCAUGCCGCGUGCCGGAUGAAGGCCUUCUGGGUUGUAAACGGCUUUUCUCAGGGAAGAAAAAGACCCUGCGGGGUACACUGACGGUACCUGAGGAAUAAGCACCGGCUAACUCCGUGCCAGCAGCCGCGGUAAUACGGAGGGUGCAAGCGUUGUCCGGAUUUAUUGGGUUUAAAGGGUGCGUAGGCGGCUUUUUAAGUCCGGGGUGAAAGCCCGUUGCUCAACAACGGAACUGCCCCGGAAAC